Molecule: ribosomal RNA, 520 nt
Filed under: uncultured bacterium
Lineage: Bacteria
Description: bacterial SSU rRNA
Rfam family: Bacterial small subunit ribosomal RNA
Source: RNAcentral
GAUGAACGCUGGCGGCGUGCCUAACACAUGCAAGUCGAACGGUAACAGGUUCUCACUAUGCUUUUGAAGUUUUCGAAGGUUUAGUGAGAAUGCUGACGAGUGGCGGACGGCUGAGUAACGCGUGGGAACGUGCCCCAAAGUGAGGGAUAAGCACCGGAAACGGUGUCUAAUACCGCAUAUGAUCUUCGGAUUAAAGCAGCAAUGCGCUUUGGGAGCGGCCUGCGUCGGAUUAGGUUGUUGGUGAGGUAAUGGCUCACCAAGCCGACGAUCCGUAGCUGGUCUGAGAGGAUGACCAGCCAGACUGGAACUGAGACACGGUCCAGACUCCUACGGGAGGCAGCAGUGAGGAAUCUUCCACAAUGGGGGCAACCCUGAUGGAGCAACGCCGCGUGCAGGAUGAAGGCCUUCGGUCGUAACUGCUUUAUUAAGUGUAGGAAGUAAUAGUACGGUAACGUUAACUUAGUAAGUAACGGUAAGUACGGUACCGUAACCUAACCGUUACGUCCCGACGCACGGACCC